UAUCCGUGGGUUCACUUUAUCACGCACAAAUCUUUCUCUACUUAAGAUUUCCGUGCAGAGGACCGCUAUGAUCGGUAUAUAACAAUUUAUCGUUGCCUCGUCUUCGGACGAGGCU
This is a non-coding RNA of Strongylocentrotus purpuratus (purple sea urchin), 115 nucleotides long. The record is from Rfam. NCBI's taxonomy places the organism in Eukaryota, Metazoa, Echinodermata, Echinoidea, Camarodonta, Strongylocentrotidae.